GACGAACCGUGCGAACGUUGUUCGGAAUCACUGGGCUUAAAGGGCGCGUAGGCGGGCUGCCAAGUCUGGGGUGAAAUCCCGCGGCUCAACCGUGGAACUGCCUUAGAUACUGGUGGCCUCGAGGGAGGUAGGGGCGAGCGGAACUGUGAGUGGAGCGGUGAAAUGCGUUGAUAUUCACAGGAACUCCGGUGGCGAAGGCGGCUCGCUGGCCCUCUUCUGACGCUGAGGCGCGAAAGCUAGGGGAGCAAACGG
Molecule: ribosomal RNA, 252 nt
Filed under: uncultured bacterium
Lineage: Bacteria
Description: partial 16S ribosomal RNA
Rfam family: Bacterial small subunit ribosomal RNA
Source: RNAcentral